CCACCGCGGGGCUGGCCGUCAGCUGAGUGCCUUUUCUUUCUGUGUGUGCUUUUUUUUCCUGACUAUAAUCAGCAAAGCCACCUAGUGGCCGCCGGCAGAACUGACAGCACAUCCCCUGCUCAGCCUCAGGCUAGGCAGGAAGUGUGUGACUGGUGUUUACUUCCUGCCUGAGGCUGAGUGCUGUAGAACAGAGGCGCGGAGCUACAACAGAAUUAAAUAUGGGAUACAGUCAAAAGAGGGCUGACAGAGGCGGAACAGUGCGUUUCAGAGAUCCAGCUUCAAUGGGCUCCACCGUGACCUCAGAAAGCAGAGGCCAGGAGGAAGCGGCCAGGACUGCAGAAUAUGUUGGCAUUUCAAAACCAGUGAUGACCGCAACAUCAGCACUUCUAAUGAGACUUCUACUGUGAAAACGAAUUUGUCUAUGGAUUAAAUUUACUAAAGAUGCAGUGACGGAACCUGUGUGGUGGGCCCAUGUGCAAAAAUAAAAAUAAUUUUGGCCUCCCUAUUCCACCCCAACCCAAGUUCACAAUAUGCUACAUGGCCACAUGGCAACCCUAAAAAGAUUUUUAAGUAUACAAACGGCAAAAGGUAAAAAAAAAAAAAAAUGAAUAUAGGACCAUUAAAAGGCGAGUUGGUUGUCUUGAUUAAUGAUGACACAGAUAAACCAGAAAUAUUGAACAAAUAAUUUUCAUCAUGUUUACUAGAGAGGACAAGAUGGUGGGUUUAGUACACAACAAAAGCGACGAUAACAUCCUACUGCUAAGUACUUGGUUAAAUUAGGAAAUAGUCGGGGAGAGACUA
Molecule: long non-coding RNA, 801 nt
Organism: Pseudophryne corroboree (corroboree frog)
Lineage: Eukaryota; Metazoa; Chordata; Amphibia; Anura; Myobatrachidae
Exons: 4
Source: RefSeq, a predicted model, not a curated record